Molecule: ribosomal RNA, 107 nt
Filed under: Flavobacterium sp. LM5
Lineage: Bacteria; Pseudomonadati; Bacteroidota; Flavobacteriia; Flavobacteriales; Flavobacteriaceae
Source: RNAcentral
UAAGGUGGUUAUUGCGGCGGGGCUCACCUCUUCCCAUUCCGAACAGAGAAGUUAAGCCCGCCUGCGCAGAUGGUACUGCAAUUUGUGGGAGUAUGUCGCCGCCUUUC